AGUUAACGUUGGCGGCGUGCCUAACACAUGCAAGUCGAACGCGUCCUAAGGGCAACUUUAGGAUGAGUGGCGAACGGGUGAGUAUCACGUGGGUAAUCUUCCUUUAAGUGGGGAAUAAGCUCUCGAAAGGGAGUCUAAUACCGCAUGACAUUCCGGGACACAAGUCCCGUAAUCAAAGCCGCAAGGCGCUUGAAGAUGAGCCUGCGUCCUAUUAGCUAGUUGGUGGGGUAACGGCCUACCAAGGCUCAGAUGGGUAGCCGGCCUGAGAGGGUGAACGGCCACACUGGGACUGAGACACGGCCCAGACUCCUACGGGAGGCAGCAGUGAGGAAUUUUGCGCAAUGGGGGAAACCCUGACGCAGCGACGCCGCGUGGAGGAUGAAGGCCUUCGGGUCGUAAACUCCUGUCAGAGGUGAAGAAUGCCCGCAAGGGUUGACGGUAACCUCAGAGGAAGCCCCGGCUAACUACGUAG
This 472-nucleotide ribosomal RNA is filed under the name uncultured bacterium. RNAcentral describes it as "bacterial SSU rRNA". It matches the Rfam family "Bacterial small subunit ribosomal RNA", at positions 29 to 508 of the family's 1533-position model. The record is from RNAcentral.